AACGAGCCAACGAGUUACGGUAUGUAGCAAGGUUAAGUACUUAAGGUACGGAGCCGAAGGGAAACCGAGUCUGAAUAGGGCGACUAGUUGCAUGCCGUAGACCCGAAACCGGGUGACCUAUCCAUGGCCAGGUUGAAGCGAGGGUAAAACCUCGUGGAGGACCGAACCACGUUGCUGUUGAAAAAGCAUGGGAUGAGCUGUGGAUAGCGGAGAAAUUCCAAUCGAACCCGGAGAUAGCUGGUUCUCUCCGAAAUAGCUUUAGGGCUAGCGUCGAGUAUGAGUAGUGGAGGUAGAGCACUGAAUGGGCUAGGGGGCAUAGCGCUUACCGAACCUUAUCAAACUCCGAAUGCCACAUACUUUGAGCUCGGCAGUCAGACUACGAAUGAUAAGAUCCGUGGUCAAAAGGGAAACAGCCCAGAUCGUCAGCUAAGGUCCCAAAGUGUAAGUUAAGUGGGAAAGGAUGUGAGAUUUCUAAGACAACUAGGAUGUUGGCUUAGAAGCAGCCAUUCAUUAAAAGAGUGCGUAAUAGCUCACUAGUCGAGAGAUCUUGCGCCGAAAAUGUAACGGGGCUAAACUUACCA
RNAcentral lists this ribosomal RNA (581 nucleotides) under Clostridium perfringens. RNAcentral's name for it is "partial 23S ribosomal RNA". It matches the Rfam family "Bacterial large subunit ribosomal RNA", at positions 614 to 1193 of the family's 2925-position model. Lineage: Bacteria; Bacillati; Bacillota; Clostridia; Eubacteriales; Clostridiaceae. The record is from RNAcentral.